UCGAACCGUGAAAUGUUUACAGGUCAUUUUGUAGUGGUGUAGGGUUUGUCAAGGAUUCGAACGAGUACUCCUGGUCUGCGUGGGUUUAUGAGGUCGGAUAAUGGACGAAUAAUAUCAGAAAGUGAUCUGAGGAAAAAACGACGGCUUCCUAAACGAAGCAGUUUGGUGUGAAACACAUUUUAAUUGUUCAAGAAAGAUACCAAGAUGGCUGGCUUGGUGGCCUACAUCUGUUCGUUUAUCUUUAAAAGAUCUGCUCAGAGACGGUCAAAAUACGAUUUACCACUUCCGAUAAACUGCCAUCUUGUUUUGAAUGAUGACGUCAUUCGGGACAGAAGCGUCUUCGUGAUUGGGGAUGUACACGGUUGCUAUGACGAACUUUUAGAUUUAUUAAGUCUCGCUGAAGGCUUAGAACCUGACAGGCCCAUUCUGCCUAUUUUUGUUGGAGAUUUGAUUAAUAAGGGACCAAAAAAUACAGAAGUUCUCGAAAAAAUCAAACGCAUGGACACAUAUGCAGUAAGGGGCAACCAUGACGAGGCUGUGCUGAGACAGCUUUUAAACCGCAGAAACGACCCUGAGUAUGUGUUUCCGCCAAAGUACCAAUGGUGCAAGAGCUUAACCGGUACAGAUGCAGACUUUUUGACUGAACUUCCUUACACGAUAUCCAUCCCGUCAUGCAAUGCGUUGGUCGUUCACGCGGGUCUUGCUCCUGGCAUUCCUAUCGAAAAACAGGACCUGACAGAUAUGAUUGUGAUGAGGAAUGUUGAGAGAAAAGACGACAGAUUGAUGGCGAGUGAGUCUCGUUUUGUUGGAGAACAGUGGGCCUCGCAAUGGCCGGGACCAGAGCAUGUAUAUUUCGGCCAUGAUGCAGUUCGAGGGUUUCAGAGUUUCCCAUUUUGUACUGGUCUCGACACCGGUUGUCUUUAUGGAAAAGAACUCACGGGAAUUUUUAUUAAUGGCUGCAAGAAAAGAAUUUCAGUCAAAGCUCAAAACGUUUAUCGGCCUCCGUGAUACUUCUAGAAUUAGGACUGUAUAAAAAAAACUCCACCCGAAUCAUCGGAAAUCCGAACUUUUAUCAUAACAUCAACUUUAUGUACAAAUUAUAUUCACAGGCACUGGAGUUUAGCCAUUAGAAAUGAAUAAAUACAUUAAUAACAAAAAAAAAAUAUUUUUAAAAAGGACUGGUCUGGACGUUGCCGGCCUCUAAACAUAUGUCCCGAUCAGGAUCCGGACGGGCCCUUUUUCUAAUUAGAUUUUUAUCCUAAUUUUUUGUUUUAUGGCUAAAUCAAGUGCCGGUGCAUUAUGUUAUUUAUAAAUGCCGUUUUUCAUUAUGAUUGGGGAAAUAGUUUCGUUUAAACAUAUUUAUUACCAAAAGUAGACAAAGGGAUUAGGCACAAGUUAUUAUAACUUAGCAACGCCUUCUCUCAAUAUAUUCAUGUAACGCAAGUGUUAUGAGCUAGCCAUGGGGCGUCUCAAAAAUAUACCAAGAGACCAGAGACUCUGUAAAAAAUGUGGUGUGUUAGAAAAUGAAGUACACUUCUGUUUUCACUGUUCCCUAAAUGAAUCUGUCAGAAAAGAAUACUUCCAAAAAUGCAUUCCUAAUCACAAUGAUGUUACCUUAGAUACCAAUUAUUUGACCUCAAUAUUAUCUACAAACAACUCCCAAUUUAUACUGGACUCUUGCUUAUUCAUUAAACAGUCUCUAGAACUGAGGAGAGUGGGCUUGCUGACAGUAUAAGCUAUGUUAAUUUUGUUCAUGUUAAUGUAUAUUAGAUAUAUAAGCAAUCACUUUGCGACUUUUCUACAUGAACAUGUCUAUGUAUAUAUUUUACUGUGUUUUUCUAUUUUGCCUUCAAACUACUUUGAAGUUACAAAGGUGCAAAUAAAUUUUGAAUUUGAAUUUGAAUUUGUAAAACAAUGAUAUUUCGCAUACAUACAUAUUUGCACGAAUAU
RNAcentral lists this unclassified non-coding RNA (1950 nucleotides) under Mizuhopecten yessoensis (Yesso scallop). Its description in RNAcentral is "bis(5'-nucleosyl)-tetraphosphatase PrpE [asymmetrical]-like, transcript variant X1". The record is from RNAcentral. Lineage: Eukaryota; Metazoa; Mollusca; Bivalvia; Pectinida; Pectinidae.